GAUGAACGCUAGCUACAGGCUUAACACACGCAAGUCGAGGGGUAACGAGAGGAAAGCUUGCUUUCCUUGUCGACGACCGGCGCACGGGUGAGUAACGCGUAUCCAACCUGCCCCCAACUAAGGAAUAACCUUGCGAAAGUAAGACUAAUACCUUAUAAUUUCCUCAGAUGUCAUCUGACGAGGAAUAAAGAUUUAUCGGUUGUGGAUGGGGAUGCGUCUGAUUAGCUUGUUGGCGGGGUAACGGCCCACCAAGGCAACGAUCAGUAGGGGUUAUGAGAGGAAGGUCCCCCACAUUGGAACUGAGACACGGUCCAAACUCCUACGGGAGGCAGCAGUGAGGAAUAUUGGUCAAUGGGCGAAAGCCUGAACCAGCCAAGUAGCGUGCAGGAUGACGGCCCUAUGGGUUGUAAACUGCUUUUAUACAGGAAUAAAGUUAGCCACGUGUGGUUAUUUGUAGGUACUGUAUGAAUAAGGACCGGCUAAUUCCGUGCCAGCAGCCGCCGUAA
RNAcentral lists this ribosomal RNA (506 nucleotides) under uncultured bacterium. RNAcentral describes it as "partial 16S ribosomal RNA". It matches the Rfam family "Bacterial small subunit ribosomal RNA", at positions 28 to 523 of the family's 1533-position model. The record is from RNAcentral.